RNAcentral lists this long non-coding RNA (427 nucleotides) under Mytilus galloprovincialis (Mediterranean mussel). Lineage: Eukaryota; Metazoa; Mollusca; Bivalvia; Mytilida; Mytilidae. The record is from RNAcentral.
UUAAACAGUUCAGUUUUUGGCUCUGGAACUAUCAAAUUACCUUGAGUAACACCCCUUAAAGCAUAAGGAUUAUUUACAGAUAUAAGUUGAAACUUUUGAAUUAGGUACUGUGGUGCUUCUUUCCGCAUACAUUUAAAUAGCAAUAAAUAUUUGUGGUAUUUGAUUCUGUUUUCUACUGUCAUCCAUCCAAGUUCUUUAAAUAAGGGGGCUGAUGAGGAUAAUGGGUCUGCAUCAAGAAUUAAUCUUGAUGCUCUUUUUUGAAGUUUUAAUAUUCUUACUAUCCCUUCAUUUUUACAUUCUCCCCAAAUAAUACAGCAGUAAUCGAUGAGAGGCAGAAUAUACCCAUUAUAAUAUGCUUUCCUGGCAUUAAUAUCUAAAAAUUUCUUUAAUUUAGAAAGAAGGUAUAUUCUUGAUGAAAUGCUAGCAC